RNAcentral lists this long non-coding RNA (230 nucleotides) under Octopus vulgaris (common octopus). The record is from RNAcentral. Lineage: Eukaryota; Metazoa; Mollusca; Cephalopoda; Octopoda; Octopodidae.
GAAAAGCCACCAUUUUUGAAAAGGAUGGUGAUAAGAGUAUUUUAAAGACUUAUAAGCAUCUCAGAGUAAAUCCGAGUAAAUGAUUGUAGUGAUACUAGAUUAGUAUUUACUGGUGUUGUAAAUGAUAGUCAGUAAGUGAAUGUUAGUAUAUAUUUUGUACCUAGUGGCAGGCUAGUAGACAUCAGAAUGAAAUUUUUAAAAAAAAUAUGUACACUUUGUGUGUCUUAAUU